This 1393-nucleotide ribosomal RNA is filed under the name uncultured bacterium. Its description in RNAcentral is "16S ribosomal RNA". It matches the Rfam family "Bacterial small subunit ribosomal RNA". The record is from RNAcentral.
AGAGUUUGAUCCUGGCUCAGGAUGAACGCUAGCGACAGGCUUAACACAUGCAAGUCGAGGGGCAGCACAGGUAGCAAUACCGGGUGGCGACCGGCGCACGGGUGAGUAACGCGUAUGCAACUUGCCUAUCAGAGGGGGAUAACCCGGCGAAAGUCGGACUAAUACCGCAUGAAGCAGGGGCCCCGCAUGGGGAUAUUUGCUAAAGAUUCAUCGCUGAUAGAUAGGCAUGCGUUCCAUUAGGCAGUUGGCGGGGUAACGGCCCACCAAACCGACGAUGGAUAGGGGUUCUGAGAGGAAGGUCCCCCACAUUGGUACUGAGACACGGACCAAACUCCUACGGGAGGCAGCAGUGAGGAAUAUUGGUCAAUGGCCGAGAGGCUGAACCAGCCAAGUCGCGUGAGGGAUGAAGGUUCUAUGGAUCGUAAACCUCUUUUAUAAGGGAAUAAAGUGCGGGACGUGUCCCGUUUUGUAUGUACCUUAUGAAUAAGGAUCGGCUAACUCCGUGCCAGCAGCCGCGGUAAUACGGAGGAUCCGAGCGUUAUCCGGAUUUAUUGGGUUUAAAGGGUGCGUAGGCGGCCUUUUAAGUCAGCGGUGAGAGUCUGUGGCUCAACCAUAGAAUUGCCGUUGAAACUGGGGGGCUUGAGUAUGUUUGAGGCAGGCGGAAUGCGUGGUGUAGCGGUGAAAUGCAUAGAUAUCACGCAGAACCCCGAUUGCGAAGGCAGCCUGCCAAGCCAUUACUGACGCUGAUGCACGAAAGCGUGGGGAUCAAACAGGAUUAGAUACCCUGGUAGUCCACGCAGUAAACGAUGAUCACUAGCUGUUUGCGAUACACUGUAAGCGGCACAGCGAAAGCGUUAAGUGAUCCACCUGGGGAGUACGCCGGCAACGGUGAAACUCAAAGGAAUUGACGGGGGCCCGCACAAGCGGAGGAACAUGUGGUUUAAUUCGAUGAUACGCGAGGAACCUUACCCGGGUUUGAACGCAUUCGGACCGAGGUGGAAACACCUUUUCUAGCAAUAGCCGUUUGCGAGGUGCUGCAUGGUUGUCGUCAGCUCGUGCCGUGAGGUGUCGGCUUAAGUGCCAUAACGAGCGCAACCCUUGCCACUAGUUACUAACAGGUAAAGCUGAGGACUCUGGUGGGACUGCCAGCGUAAGCUGCGAGGAAGGCGGGGAUGACGUCAAAUCAGCACGGCCCUUACAUCCGGGGCGACACACGUGUUACAAUGGCGUGGACGAAGGGAGGCCACCUGGCGACAGGGAGCGAAUCCCCAAACCACGUCUCAGUUCGGAUCGGAGUCUGCAACCCGACUCCGUGAAGCUGGAUUCGCUAGUAAUCGCGCAUCAGCCAUGGCGCGGUGAAUACGUUCCCGGGCCUUGCACUCACCGCCCGUCA